UUAAGUUAGGUUUGUGGUUGAAAGUCGAUGCUAGUCGCAGGCAAAGCGAUCCACGUAAGUUGAACAAAGUUUAAUGAGCAUGGUGCGGUUUAGAGGUAAGUCCUGCCGUGAAAAACGAGAGGGUAAGUAGUGAGGGGUUAAGUCCUAGUAGCAAAAGCUCCAGCAGGCGAGUGUGGGGUCAAAGACCAGGUCAACUAGUUUAA
Molecule: regulatory RNA element, 203 nt
Organism: Clostridium acidisoli DSM 12555
Lineage: Bacteria; Bacillati; Bacillota; Clostridia; Eubacteriales; Clostridiaceae
Rfam family: raiA RNA
Source: Rfam